This 647-nucleotide long non-coding RNA is filed under the name Mytilus galloprovincialis (Mediterranean mussel). Lineage: Eukaryota; Metazoa; Mollusca; Bivalvia; Mytilida; Mytilidae. The record is from RNAcentral.
CAACUCUCCAUCCAAAUAACAAUUUAAAAAAAGUAAACCAUUAUAGGUCAAUGUACGGCCUUCAACACGGAGCCUUGGCUCACACCGAACAACAAUUAAGCUAUAAAGGGCCCCAAAAUUACUAGUGUAAAACCAUUCAAACGGGAAAACCAACGGUCUAAUCUAUAUAAAAUAAAAAAAACGAAAAACGAGAAACACGUAUAAAUUACAUAAAAAAACGAUAACUACUGUACAUCAGAUUCCUGACUUAGGACAGGUGCAAACAUUUGCAGCGGGAUUAAACGUUUUAAUGGAUCGAAACUCUCUCCCUUUUUCCGAAACAAUAGCAUAUCAUCACAACAUAGAAAAACACACAUUAAAAUGUCAAUUGGCAGGCUUAACUCAAUCAAAAAACGUACAUUAAUACACUAUAAACGAAUAAAUUCGAUCUGCGAUAUCUGAAUGCAAAUGCACAGUUAAUAAAAUAUUAGGGACAAACAUUCAAGGCCAAAAAGCAAACAAACAAGUCCAAACAAAGCCAGUCUUAACAUAAAUAAGAUCAUUGUUUUUCAAGUCUUUUUUUCAUUGUUUAGAAUUGUGCCAUGCCAGAGCAUUUUAUAGCUUAGCAUACGGUAUGUGUUUUGCUCAUUGUUGGCGGAUGUGACAAU